RNAcentral lists this small nuclear RNA (162 nucleotides) under Vulpes vulpes (red fox). RNAcentral describes it as "U1 spliceosomal RNA (ENSVVUG00000016050.1)". The record is from RNAcentral. Lineage: Eukaryota; Metazoa; Chordata; Mammalia; Carnivora; Canidae.
AAUCUUAGUUGGCUGGGGAAAUACCUUGAUCAGGAAGGUGUUCUCCCAUGGCGAGGUUUAGCUUCUGCACUCUAUAGGAAUGAUUUCCACAUUUUCUGAACAUGAGAGACUCAUUUGCCAACUGUGGGAGCUGUGGAAAGACACAAUGCUCUCUGUCCUUAA